Pterulicium gracile is the source of this 72-nucleotide non-coding RNA. The record is from the annotation of a GenBank genome assembly. NCBI's taxonomy places the organism in Eukaryota, Fungi, Basidiomycota, Agaricomycetes, Agaricales, Pterulaceae.
AGCAUUGUGGCGCAGGGGUAGCGCGCAGGGCCCAUAACCCUGAGGUCACUGGAUCGAAACCAGUCGAUGCUA